GUCCAGACUCCUACGGGAGGCAGCCGUGGGGAAUAUUGGGCAAUGGGCGCACGCCUGACCCAGCACCUCCUCGUGAAGGCAGCAGGCUUUCGGGUUGUCCACUUCUUUUAUUCUGGACGAAAGCCCUGACGGUACCUCCUUCAUAAGCCCCUGCUCACUACGUUCCCGCCGCCGCGGUCCUCCGUAGGUGGCCCUCGUUAUCCGGCUUUCCUGGGUGUAAAGGGCGUGUAGGCGGGACUGCAAGUCAGAUUGGAAAAUUAGGGGAGCAACCCAUAACCUGUAUUUGAAACUGUAGUUCGUGAGUGAUGGAGAGGCAGGCGGAAUUCCGUGUGUAGCGGUGAAAUGCGUAGAGAGACGGAGGAACACCAGUGGCGAAGGCGGCCUGCUGGACAUUAACUGACGCUGAGGCGCGAAAGCGUGGGGAGCAAACAGGAUUAGAUACCCUCGUA
This 449-nucleotide ribosomal RNA is filed under the name uncultured bacterium. RNAcentral describes it as "bacterial SSU rRNA". It matches the Rfam family "Bacterial small subunit ribosomal RNA", at positions 329 to 792 of the family's 1533-position model. The record is from RNAcentral.